GGUGGGUGAUUUGGACAUGGGCGAAACCUGAUGCCUUCAAUGCCGCGUGUGUGAAGAACGCUUCGGGUUGUAAAGCACUUUUGUCCGGAAAGAAAUCUGGCUCUCAUACAGUCGGGGGAUGACGGUACCGGAAGAAUAAGCACCGGCUAACUACGUGCCAGUCAGCCGCGGCUAAUACGUAGGGUGCGAGCGUUAAUCGGAAUUACUGGGCGUAAAGCGUGCGCAGGCGGUUUGCUAAGACCGAUGUGAAAUCCCCGGGCUCAACCUGGGAACUGCAUUGGUGACUGGCAGGCUAGAGUAUGGCAGAGGGGGGUAGAAUUCCACGUGUAGCAGUGAAAUGCGUAAAGAUGUGGAGGAAUACCGAUGGCGAAGGCAGGCCCCUGGGCCAUUACUGACGCUCAUGCACGAAAGCGUGGGGAGCAAACGGGAUUAGAUACCCUGGGUUAGUCCACGCGGCUAAACGAUGUCAACUAGUUGUUGGGGAAUUCAUUUCCUUAGUAAGCGUAGCUAACGCGUGUAAUUGACCGCCUGGGGAGUACGGUCGCGAGAUUAAAACUCAAAGGAAUUGACGGGGACCCGCACAAGCGGUGGAUGAUGUGGAUUAAUUCGAUGCAACGCGAAAAACCUUACCUACCCUUGACAUGGUCGGAAUCCUGCUGAGAGGUGGGAGUGCUCGAAGAGAGGAAACGGGACACAGGUGCUGCAUGGCUGUCGUCAGCUCGUGUCGUAAGAUGUUGGGUUAAGUCCCGCAACGAGCGAAACCCUUGUCCUUAGUUGCUACGGCAAGAGCCACUCUAAGGAGACUGCCGGGUGCACAAACCGGAGGAAGGUGGGGAUGACGUCGAGUCCUCAUGGUCCUUAUCGGUAGCGGGUUUGCGCUUUCAUCCUGGGUCGGAACAGAGGGUUGCCAACCCGCAGAGGGGGAGCUAUUCCCAGAAAACCGAUCGUAGUCCGGAUUGCGACUCGUGCAACUCGAGUGCAUGAGCGCUGGAAUCGCUUGUAAUCGGCGGAUCAGCAUGCCGUGGUGAAUACGUUCUCCGGGUCUUGUACUAGACCGCCCGUCACAGCAAUGGGAGUGGGUUUACCAAGAAGUGGAUAGUCUAACCGCAAGGGAGGACGAGCACCACAGUAGGAUUCGUGACCUGGGGUGAAGUCGAAACCAAUGGUAAC
Molecule: ribosomal RNA, 1170 nt
Filed under: Burkholderia sp. 219-B
Lineage: Bacteria; Pseudomonadati; Pseudomonadota; Betaproteobacteria; Burkholderiales; Burkholderiaceae
Description: bacterial SSU rRNA
Rfam family: Bacterial small subunit ribosomal RNA
Source: RNAcentral